UACGAAGGGUGCAAGCGUUACUCGGAAUUACUGGGCGUAAAGCGUGCGUAGGUGGUUCGUUAAGUCUGUCGUGAAAGCCCCGGGCUCAACCUGGGAAUGGCGAUGGAUACUGGCGGGCUAGAGUGCGGUAGAGGAGAGUGGAAUUCCCGGUGUAGCAGUGAAAUGCGUAGAGAUCGGGAGGAACAUCAGUUGCGAAGGUGGCUCUCUGGACCAGCACUGACACUGAGGCACGAAAGCGUGGGGAGCAAACAGG
This 253-nucleotide ribosomal RNA is filed under the name uncultured bacterium. RNAcentral describes it as "partial 16S ribosomal RNA". It matches the Rfam family "Bacterial small subunit ribosomal RNA", at positions 524 to 776 of the family's 1533-position model. The record is from RNAcentral.